GCGGAAGUAGCUCAGUUGGUAGAGCGUCAGCCUUCCAAGCUGAAUGUCGCGAGUUCGAACCUCGUCUUCCGCU
This 73-nucleotide transfer RNA is filed under the name Capnocytophaga gingivalis. RNAcentral's name for it is "tRNA-Gly". It matches the Rfam family "tRNA". From Rfam's summary of the family: Transfer RNA (tRNA) molecules are approximately 80 nucleotides in length. The record is from RNAcentral. Lineage: Bacteria; Pseudomonadati; Bacteroidota; Flavobacteriia; Flavobacteriales; Flavobacteriaceae. RNAcentral also lists the same sequence under 8 other names.